This is a long non-coding RNA of Vicia villosa (hairy vetch), 20074 nucleotides long. RefSeq lists it as uncharacterized. Lineage: Eukaryota; Viridiplantae; Streptophyta; Magnoliopsida; Fabales; Fabaceae. The record is from RefSeq and is a predicted model, not a curated record. The transcript has 2 exons.
UCUCAUAAACUUUUCUCUCAAUUCUCUCUCAAAUUCUUUGAAUCAAAACCACAAAUACACACAAAAAAAAAAAAAACUUCAACAAUUUUCAAGAACAUGAUGAAGAUGAUGGAGACCACGUAGCCAAAAUUCACUGCCUCGCCGAUCGUCAUUUUCUCAUACCACUGCUCAUCACCGCACGGAAUUUCUUCCAAGACGUCACUGUUCGCAAGAACAUCCUCCGCCGAUCCUGUUCCGACGAUCUCCUCUGUCAACGUGUUUCCGGCAACUCUUCUUCCGUUUGCUGCUUUUCAAUUCCGAUUAACUUCUGGCAUCUUCCGCUCGCUCGCGGGAUCCUAGUUUACUCGCUCUCUUCGCUUUAGUUUACGGAUCAUCAUCCGUUUGGUAUUGAUUCCUUUUCAUUUUAUUUCUCUCGCACUUUAUCGCUUUCUCGCAUCAUUCUUUAACAUGCAUCUGGCCAAGCCCUCGAAAGAGGCUCUGUUUUUGUUGGUGUGUUUAUAUUUGUGCUUUGCGGCAGGGAGUCACGGUGUAAUAAGUCCUAUAUGGCACUCCGUUAAGUCCUCAUGGAAGGCACGCGGAAAGGGUUAGCAAUCAACCUCCGCCUAGUCUCAUCGAGUCCGUUUGGUAUGCGCACGCUACGCGUAGCUCGCUUCUGAACCUGCACAAGAUCUUGUUAUCGAGUAUGUCAGGAAAAGGGUUCAUGUAGCCGGACCCCCGCCUUUCCUAUAGCUCGCGUCGCUCGACGUUGAUGCUCGGUGUACGCACGCACCGUUUUCCUUUACGAUCCGUGACGGCUUGGUUGCUGAGAGGGGUCCGCCCUCUUGUCUAUGGCCCGAUCAUUUUCACGAGGUCUAAUGCUUGGUUGACUUGGGUUGAGCUGCUCCCCUUGGCUAUGGCGGGACCGCUUUUCUACCAUUCGGUCAGUACCGUUGGUUUGUUUGCUUUACAAGCGGAUGCUCGUUUGUGUGCUCAUUGUUUGCUUUCGCCUUUCCCCGUAGGUUGAUAGCUUAGCUUAGACUUGUACCCUUUGUAUGAUAACAUUAGAUAGCAAGCUUUCCCCCUUAGCUUAGGUUUUCCUCAUGCAUUCUUUAAAACACAAACCACACUCUUUGAUUUUCUUUUCUUAAGAGCUUGUUAUUUCCGCUCCAUUCCCAGCAUAAGUCUCCAAAGGUCGAGCAGCGGAGUGUGAAUGUAACUCGUUCACCUAAAAAACACAAAACAAAUAGAAAUUAGUUAUCCGAGCUACGGUAGCUCUGAUUCUGCAAAACAGAUACGUAGGCAGCGGGGUAGGGCCCGUGCGAGCACAAUCCUUUCUUUUCCCUACAUUCUGCAUUCAUUUUAGUCCAGAUUAGCGUAGAUUUGUUACACACCCAUAGUUUUAGACACAGGCGUGGAUACCAUCGAGUACGAUGGGCGCGAGGGGUGCUAACACCUUCCUCUCGCGUAACCGACUCCCUUACCCUCCUUCUCUGGUCGUGAGACCGUUGUUUUGUUUUGUUUUGUGGUUUGCUGGCAUUCCCUUCCUUUUCAGGAUAAAUAUGUUAGUGGCGACUCUGUUAAUUUUUGCGGUAGCGACAGCUGGCGACUCUGCUGGGGAACAAUGCUGUCUCGACCUGUUGCUGGUCCGGACCUAGGGAGUCGAUCCUAGCGCUUGUGUGUUUAUCAUUGGGUGUUUUUACUGCUUUGCAUAUUAUCUGUUUGCAUUGCAUUCUAUGUGCGCUUUUACUUUUCUGCAUCAUAUUCUGGACUGUCUGGAUUUCUGUCUGUGGGUGGGUGUUUCAAGAGGUAAAAGGCCCAAUACCCAGGCUAUGAGUGAUACCAUAGGAACUAGGACUAGAGUGGCCGUGACGGACAGAAGGCGUAUGCCUGAUUGAUUUGAUCACGUAUCCACGGGCAGAGCUUGGUGGAAUGAGGCAAUAUCGUAUGAUAACGCCUACAUUCGAUCCUCUGUUGGCUUUUUGACCUACCUUGGCCUAGAUUUACCCGUGAGUGGGGCGGGAAUCAAUCAUUGCUUAACAGGUACAUUGUUGGUGACUUUGGUUCUUGUUCGAGGGUUACCGCUGUUCUCGUUCGCGGGGUACCAUGGUUCUUGUUCGAGGGUUACUGUGGUUCUUGUUCGAGUGGUUUUGUUCCUGUUAUGAUGACUAUGGUUCUGUUUCUAUUGAUUAUGGCCCGUGAUCUACGGGGAGUUCUGAAUUGGUGCCGAACCUUUAAACUUGAGUCGUGUAACUUUGAGGAAAUCCAGACAUGUCUGGUGGGAGACAUUCAAAGUCCCACCACCUUGCAUCAUUGCAUAUUUACUUUUCCAAAAAAAUGAUGUACAAAAAAUAACAAGCAUACUAACAUACGUGUUCUUUCUAUUUCCAAGGAAUCACAUCUUUAAGCCUCGCGCCGAGCUCUUUUCCAUCUCUUAUUUGCUAAAAAUCAAAACAUGAGGAUUCCUUGGAAAUUGAAUGAACAUGGCAUGGCACGCAUAUCCUGCAUCUCAUGCAUUUCAUGCAUAACAGGUGUUCAGAGUUGAGGAUUUCUUAUUCAGACUCGGUACUCUCACCAGACUCACAGACUCGACUUGCCAUUGUUGUGUGCUCAAAGAUUAGUCAUGGAACAACUUUGUGGGGUGAUCAAGAGGAAAGCUCAGUUGAGGUUCUUUUUGAAGACUUGUUUUAUGCUUACUUGCUUCCAAGCUUGCUUUAUUUGCAACUGGUUAAACUCUGUACUGUAGGGAUGUCUACAUAUUCUUUGCUUGAUGACGAUGAUGCUAGGUGUGAAUUCUAUCCUGGAGCACCUGGUCGUGAUGUUAUGAUCUGCAAGUAUUUGAAGUUGCUUGGGGCUCCCGAACGAGGGAUAAGCAAGACAUUGUCUAUCUUGAGCAUUGCACCAUUUGCAUUGUUCGAAUCCCUAAAGCACUGACAAAUUCCGUGUGACUUUGCCAGAAUUUUCUGCCAGACGGUAAUCCAAAGUGUUCUACAGAGACAUCUCUCAUUCUCAAGGUUCUACUUCAUAUCCUGAGUUACCUCCUCCUCCUGGAGUUUCCUUUUCCGUAGCCUUCGCUUGUCAACGGAGACAGAAAGAACAUGAGAAACAAAUUGACGUGAGCCUAGUGCCAUUAUGUUCGGUUACGUCCAUGCUUGAUGGAAUUUCAGUUGGUUAAGAUUCGUGCUUUGGGUGUUUCUCACCACAGAUAGCUCUCCUGAUUUCGAUGACAAUACUCGGUGUUUUCCAUUCUCGGGGCACCUGAUCAUAAUGUCAAGCCUUACAAGGUGUUGAGGUACAAAGAAUCCAGGAGUUGCUCGAUGCAGAGAUGUUUGAGUUUAUUCAUAAUGGUUUCUGCUGGUCAAUCCCAUUUCAUCUGCUGCAAGUAGAAUGUUUGUUCUUCCUCGAGGAGUAACUCAUGAGAAUCACUUGCAACUUGUACUACCAGAGGCUUCCUUCCCAACAGCUAUUGUGUGUUCCAAGACAUGACUUUGAUAGCCAAGCGUCAGAGGUUAUUUUUGUUCGCUGAUAGUAAUACAAGUUUCCUCCAUUCAUGAUGGUGUUUUUUGUUUCAACAGCCAUAUUUAGGGCUCCCGACCGAGGGAUAAGCAAGACUCAGUGUUCUUGAGUUCGCAUCAUUGGCAGCUCAAAUCCCUAAAGCAUUCAUAAACUCCUGUCACUAUUGUUUGGGGCUCCCGACCGAGGGAUAAGCAAGACACCUUGUAUCUUGAGUUUGUGUACCACUAGCACGACUCAAAUCCCUAAAAGCUGGACACUUACAACUUUUGUAUGGCCUCGCCGAAAUCUUCUUCCAGGAAGUAAUCUGAAAGGUUCUGCAGGAACAUAUGCUAGUGCUCUGUGGCACUUGGUUAUCUGAUUGAAGACUGUAAGUCAUUCAAAGACAAGGUUCAAGACCUGAUUGACUCAAAGGCUAUCACAUUCGCACCUGAAGGCUAGAAUUGAAGUUCUCUUCCGACUCAGCGGAUCUUCUGAAGCAAUAAGUCCAUACGGAGAAGAUCUCCUCAACAUUGGCAAUUCUGAAUUCAUCAUGCAUGUUCAUGUUUAAGCUUUCUUGUUUUGUUCAAUAUUGUUUGCAUGCAAAACUGGUUUGUUUUUGAACUAUAAUCAUAAUGCAUUGGAUACGUUGUCUUGAUAAAAUCCAUUCGCUUUUGCUCUUAUAUGUUUUUCUAUGCUUUUUGUGACACUCAACUCUUGUUAACAAAGCAUGUUAACUCCGUAGGGAGAAUGAUGAACAUAAUACCAAUAACCUCAAAUGGUAUGCUUUUGAGUAGAACCCUGUUGAUGAUGUACAGGCAUUGUUUCAAAAUCCCAAACACUGGAGAUAUAAGGGAGUGAAACCUUCGUUAACCCCUCUGAGCCUUCGAAGUAGGAGUUUCUUUUCUAUUAAAAAAACCCUUAUUUUUAACCCAGGGGCCGGGUAGUGUUCAGUUAACCUGGUUGAGCAUUCAAAAUUCAUCAGGAGUGUGCACUUAAGGAUACAACAAUGGUUAUCCCUCGCAUCAGGAGGACGAAACGUCAAAACCACAACGGUUAUCCCUCACCUCAGGAGGUUGAGACAUCAAAAUUAUUCCUCACCUCCGGAGGUUGAGACCAACAUCAGAGUCGCGGUGGUUAUCCCUCAUAUCGUAAGGUUAAAUAUGACGAUACCACAAUGGUAAUUCUUCAUCUACCAAGAAUUCAGGCAGUCACAAUCACUUCAAACAAAGCAGAGGUAGUGCGGGAUCACACGACUUGUCAAAAAAAAAAAAAAAAGAGAAAGAAAAAAAAGAAAGAAAGGAAAAAAACAAAAGAAAAAAAAAGAGAAAGAAAAAAAUGAAAAAAAAGGAAAUAAUAAUGAAAUUGUUAAUCAAGGACAAAGUCGUGUGAUGUUAAAUCAGGGGAUCAAGAAAGGUGAAGUGAUUGCCGUGUCCAGAAUACCUCAUUGACUCCUCAAUCAUUUCCAGACUCCUCUUGAAAGAUGAAUCCUCGUGUCAAGUUAACUGAACUUAGGACUGGAGAACAUCACGAAGGGGGUGGGCACCAAAUAAUUUGAGCCUAAAAAUCAUUUUUUCUAGAAAAACCGUGAACCUGACCACGUUACAACCCUGAAAAGUCCUAACUGAAGCAUGGGUUAAUUCGAAAGCAGACUAUACAUGAGAAUACGGUAAGCUGACUCCUAGGAGAUCUGCUAAUUGCUUGGGUUGGUAUCACACCAUCUUUCUUUCAUAAAAAAUCGAUGUUACGACAUCCUUUCAAAAAGUUUCUUUAAACUUCAAGACAAACAUACUCUUUGCAUUAGAAUUAUAUUUCUCAUAAUAAACAUUCUUUGCAUAUGAACAAGUGCUUAACAUCAAGAAAGUUUCCAUCAUGAACUUCAGAUGAAAAGUGUAUUCCUCCCAAAGGAUAAGUUGUCUUUAGAACUCCGUUGAGUAGAGGCAGCAAUAUUUCAAAGUCCGAUCACCCUCAGGGGCACAAAAGCGUUUGAUUACUCUAUCGAGUAAGUUUUCAAUCGAUCUGAGGCAAUCAGGUCAAGAUUCGAAGAAUCUCUCAAAGUGCUAAGUAAUCAGGGGUAUUCACCCAAGCACAGUCGAAGCUACCUCCAAUACAGGUCAGGCAGGGGCAUGGUUCCAAAAUUCAUGAUACUGGGGCAAGUUGGCUAUGAUAGCACGACUCUCAAGAAGGUCCUUACGAGACUAAUCUCUUCAAAGUCCUUACAGGAUGAGCAAAGCAAUAUACAAUGGCAUUCUUUCCUCAUCAGGAGGUGAUCAGUUUUAAGUUCAGGUGUGAGCUAAACAACUUAUGAACUUGAGAACUGUCAGGGUCUUCAUCCUCAACAGUUAGAAACUGAAAGCCCAUUACUUGUUGGCAUCCUCACAAUCAAUGUGAAUCUACAAAGCCCGCUUCCUGGUGGCACCACUAUGAAAGCCAAUCCCUGUUUGGUCUCUUGGAAGUCAACACUUGCUUGACACCUUAAGCCCACUUCCUGGUGGCAUUCCCUCGGAAAAUCAAUGCUUAUUUGAUGCUCCGGCCGAUACUUGUUUGGUGUUCUAAUGACUGCUCGCUUACCAACUCAUUGAAUCCAUUGUCUGUAUGGAAAGUUUCAAAGCCAGGACGUCUGACAAUCUGUUUGCUCUUGCAUUUGCCCAUUGUGGGUGAGCAUCAUCAUCCUCUGUCAUGUGAGGAAAUCCCGGGAAGAUGUCAUGCUAUAUCCUGGGGGCAUUUUUCAUUUGUUUGUCUCGCAGGUACGUCCUUGCAAGCGCUUCGCAUCAGCAUAUUGACAGACAUAGCUAUGAGAGAUUCUCACUCCCCAGCCGAGUGCAUCCUAAUGAGGGACUCUCACUCCCUAGCUGGAUAUAUCUAGAUGAGACUUUCUUUGUUCCAAGAUUCUCAUAUCCUCAUCAAAGCACAUCUUGAUGCAAUUCCCGUGCUUCAGAAGCCUUAUUCCCGACGGAAUUCUUUCUCCCCAGUUGAGUCAUGAUAGAAUGGUAUCCGAUUCCCCAGCAAGCUCUUAAUGAGGUUCCUUGCCUGAAUGCCUCAUUUUCCCCAGUAGAGGGCUUUCUCUCCCCAACAGAUUGACCUGUUUUCCCCAAGAGAGUCAUCUUAUUCCCCAGUGGAGUGAUCUUAACAAAAGAUUCUUAUGCUAAGUUCCUUAUCCCCAGCGGAUCUCUCAUCUCCUCAGUCGCUCGCUUUGCAGAAGUAUUCAUCUUCCCCACUGAGCUUCUUUCCUCAACAGAGAUUCAUUUGCAUCCUCAGCAGGAUAUGUUCUCAUCUAGGACUUCCCCAACGGGAUGCGUCCUACACCAGCAGGUUGUUCACUCCUCGCCAGAGUUAUCUUCAUGACUUGCCUUUAUCUCCUCAUCCCCAGUAUGUCGAGAAUUUGCUUCUCUAAUGAAGUUGCAAGGGUCUUCCCCAAGCAGUUAAGUGGGAUGUUCUUAUCCCCAAGCAGGAUUUAUUCCCCAAACAGAGCUUGCAUCCGGAUUUGAUCGUCUCCAGCAGAUUUCUAAUUCAUCUCUGUCAGCUCGUAGUUUGUGACUUCUAGUCACUCAUCUUGUCCUCCCCGCAGAGUUCUAUAAUCUCUUCAGGACUUCUUCAGCAAUUCAGUGCUCAUCCUUUGUUUCCUUAAGCAACGUCCAAAUCAUGCAUCAUUCACAUUGCAUUCUCUAAGCGUGUAGCGUCUUCCUUCUCGAGAGCGUUAUUUCAUAAACAUUCAUACAUGCAUCAUGCAUAAAUCAUAUCAUAUCUGUUUCUUUCUACAGGAAAGUCAUCCAGAUCUCAAAAUGCCUCCCUGAGAGCAAUUCGCCUAAUCAUUACAGGCGCUUAUCCUGAUGUCUAAAUCAGAAGAAGUUUGUCUCCCUCUCCCUGACAUUUUCAGACCAGAUGAAAGUCAUGCUUAUUCCCGAUGUCCCCAGAUCAGUUCAAGAUAUCUGUUCCUAUCCUAAUGCCCAGAUUAGUUGAAGGAAUCGCCUCCGGAUCUCCCAAGAUCUUCCGAAGGAGCUAGCCCACUGAUGCCUCAGAUCAGUCGGAGAUAUCUCCUGAGGAUUUACUUCAUCAGAAGAGGACUGUCUAUUAUUCCUGAUAUCGCCAGGUCAGUUGAAGACACUCCUAUUCCCGAUGUCCCCAGAUCGGUUGAGGAUAUUUGUUCUUAUCCUGAAAUUCAGUUCAGUUGAAAGAACCGCCUCCGGAUCUCUAAGAUCUUCCGAAGGAGCAAGCCCUCUGAUGCCUCAGAUCAGUUGGAAAUAUCCAUUCCCUGACGAUUUAGUUCGUUCAGAAGAAGAUAUGUCUGCUCAGUCCUGAUGUCCACAGAUCAGUUGAAGACAAUCUUGAUUCCCGAUGCCCCCAGAUCGGUUGAGGAGGUCCAUUUUCUUCCUGAUGCCCCCAGAUCAGUAGAAGGCACAAUCCUGAUGUUUCCGAUCAGUUGAGGACUUCCACCCACCUGACGAUUUAUUUUCGUCGGAAGAAGACUUGCUUGCUCAGUCCUGAUGUCCCCAGAUCAGUUGAAAGCAUUCUUUAAGAUUCCCGAUGCCCCCAGAUCGGUUGAGGAUAUCCAUUUCCUUCCUGAUGCCCCCAGAUCAGUAGAAGGACACAUUCCUGAUGGUUCCGAUCAGUUGAGGAUGUCCACCCACCUGACGAUUUAUUUUCGCCAGAAGAAGACAUGUCUGCUCAGUCCUAAUGUCCUCAGAUUAGUCGAAGACAUUCUUAUUUCCGAUAUUCAGAUCGGCCAAAGACGUCUAUUUCGUUUUGAUAUCCAGAUCAAUCGAAGAUGUCGACCUUCUCUUGGUGCCCAGACCAAUUGAAGUUUUUUCCCUCAGCAAUGGGGUUGCCUGGUCUUUAUUGUUGCAAGUAGGAUCAGUUAAUUAUCAAGAGCGCAAAUUUUCGAGUUCAUUCUAGUAUUCAAUCUCCUUUACCUUAACGGUUCGAAACUUUCGUUUCUCGCUCGUCAGGUUCAAGAAGUUUGAAUAGGGGCAGCUGUUGCACCCCAAAAUUUGCCCUCUUUAUUUGAGCUAUAAGUUAUCCAAGACGUUUAUUUCGUCGUUCGUUCGAAAAGGAAGAAAAAUAAUAAAAAGAUUUUCAUGGGUCUAAGAAGAUAUAGUGUGAGAUAUGGUUUAAACAGUGGAAAUACGAGAAAAUUCACAAGUCCGGUUUGGAAAGUGAUAUGAGCUUGGUUCCCGCGUUGCCCCUACUGUUUGGACGUUAUCUACAACUUCCGUGUUUGACUCAGAAAUCAAUUCCAUAAGGAAGGUUGUCGAAUUUGCAAAUUAAUCGAUGUUUCACAGUGAAAAAUGGUGCUGAACCGCAGGUUUUCGGACAGUAAAAAAUUCAUAUCUCCUAAUCCGCCAGUCGGAUUCGCUUGAAAAUUUAACUGGGGAUCCGUGCCAUCAUUACCAAGAUUUCAUAUGUUCGGACCAUCGGCCGAUUAUGCACCAAAAGUGCCCAGCAUUUUAAGGAACGUCGCAAUCUUUCGGUAAAAAGUGUGUUUUCGAGUACGUCGCGACGAGUUUGAAAAUUCAUAACUUCUUCGAUUUUUAUCGUAUGGAGUCCAUUCCGGCGGCAUUUUCUCGGAAAUUUCGUUAUCUUCGAUUCUUUGUCACACGUGCUAAGUCAGAUUUCGAGUCGAAGUUUGAGUUUUAUCACGUUCUCUGAACGGUACUCGCAAAAUUCUGCACAGUCGCACCAGAUGAACCGAUUUUUCUCGUCAUUCAAACGCGCAUAAUUUCCUCACCGUUUGUCGGAUUGAGACGAUUCUCGCGGCUACGAGUCACAAAUUUGGUCAUCUUCCCAGUGAUGUUCGUUUUACUUUCGAAUUUCGCACUGAGUCAUAUUUCCCCAAAAAAUGAGAAAAAAGAGAUACGUCGGAUCUGUUAAAGUGUUAAGAUCCUUGCGCUUUUGAGGGGACUGUUUUUAGUUGCCAUAUGGGAUUUGAACUUGUGUAUUGGAAUUAAGGCUUUGAUUGUUGUUUAGUUGGAAAAUAAUGUGGUAAAAUGUUUGUCGGCAUGAGAUGUAUGUUCUGUAAUUUGUGAAAUAGAUAUUGGUUAAUGGUGGACAUUGCUAAGCUUUGAUUAGUGUUACUUGUGAAUGAGUUUUCUUGUGAAUCACUUAGGGAUAAUAUGUUUGACUCAGCAUAUUGAAUUUUGGUUAAUUACUAUGUUACAUGUUGGCUUUGAUGGAUGUCAUGCUUAUUGAAAUGUGAAUUGAGGGCUGCAUCGUGUGAGGAUUUGUCAUUAAUUGUUAGUGUAAUAUGGAAAGCAUACUUGUUUUGCUUUGCUAAUAAUCAUUUGGUCUUGUUGUUUUAAAGUGUUGGCUUGAAGGAUGUUAGUUUUGAUAGAAUUGGUGGGUUAAGUGUUAUAGUUCUGAACUUGUGCAUGAGUAGUGCUUGUGAACCUUGGGUAAUAAUAUGGUGGUGUUGUUUGAUGAAGCUUAAACGUACAUAUGCUGAAAAUUAGUUUAGUUUGUUGGCAAUAUGAAUUGGUGAACAUAAUUGUGGACAUGUGGUUGAUGAUUGGGGAUGAUGUAAUUGAAUAGUUGAAUUAAACAAUGCUGAAAAUUAGAUGAAUAAUUGAUAAUUGUGUUGUUUUGUGUGACUUAUUAAAGCAUGAAAAUUAGAAGUGAUUUUGGUUGUUUUGUGGCUAUUUGAACAAAGGGAUAGGGCUGGAAAAUUUCAUGAGGUGUUGCUAUUGAUAGUUUAUGUUAAUAAUGUUGCUCCUUUAAUCAAGUUUGGUGUUGGAAGUUAUUGGUUAACAUGUUGCAGCUUUUGUUGAUGUUCAAGAAAAACUACAAGAAGUGUGUUGAUGUGAAUAGAGUGAUGCUGGAUUCUAUUUGGUGAUAAUGCUUUAGGUUGUUAAGAAUGACCUCAUUUUGUGUGGUUAAUGGUUGCACUAACAUGAAGUUAGAAACAUGAGUCGCUAUUGUUGUUUUUGUAUGUGAGGAAGAUGCUGGAAAUUAUUUGUGUGGAUUAAAUACUCCAAAGGCUACCUGAAUAGGUCAUCUAUAGUUUAUGGUUGCUUCCUUGAUCAUACAAUUUACUUUGUGCUGAAUGUUCUCAUGUCUUGAUGAAGUUUGUGACAUAGUAGUGUGUUGAGUCAUUUCCAUUACCUUGAGUUAGAUCUUAAGAUCAAAUAAAACAAAUGUUGGCAAAUAUGUGGUGAGUGAUAAUGGUAGAGAUUUUUGUAAAUGAAGUUUGUUUCUCAUGAAGAUUAAUUGAGCUUAUUUGUGAUUAGCUUUUGUUGAUAAUGUUUGAUAAGCUUUAUUCAACUCUUGAGAUCAAAUCUUUUCCUGUUGCUUUUACAUGAUGAUGAAAUGAUUGUUUGAGCUUGUACACCGAAUUGUGAAGUUAAAAUAUGAUUUCGGUUGAUUUUAUUGUGACACAUCAUUGCUGUCCGGAAUUAUAUUUUACGCUUUGUCUCGCUGUUAAAAAUGGACACUUACGCUUAUUAUUUUGUUAAAAUGUUGAACCGCAUGUUUAAAUUCCGAUUUUAAUGUGAGUUUCUAUGAGUUUCAACAAAGUGAUGCCAUGCUGUCCCAAUUUGAUUUCAACAUGAAAGUUGUGUUCCAAUUUUUCCUAUCACGCAUGUUCACAAUCAAUUACUCAAUUGUGGUUCGUUCGGUAUCGUUUUUGUGCAUUUUAAGCUAAUUUUCAUGUGAUUUUGCGAGGUGUGUUGUUGCUGUCCCGGAUUGCGUUUCAUACCAUAUUUCACUUUUCUAUCUUGCUUGAUGCUUUCUUUGUGCUCAAUAACAUGGUUAAUUGCUAAAUGUGCAUUCAAAUUUCGGUCUCGACGCAUUUGCCCUUGAUUUACAAUAAGUGAUGCAAUGCUGUCCCGUGAUGUGCAUAACACCUAAUUCAUGUAAUGCAUAUGUAUUUGUGUUUGCUCGCUUGCGGAUGAUUGUUGUCGUGUUGGUGCUUGUUCGAUACAUUUUUCAUGCGAUUAUUAUGCUUGUGUACUUGCUGCCCCAUUAGUGAUGGUGUGUUUCCUUCACUUGUUAUUCAUUUCUCUUUCCACCAUUCAUUUUCAUUUAGCCUUGUAAAAUACCAACGCAAUUCCUAUUGCGGAUUUUUGUUAUCUCUAAUGUGUGUGCCAGUAUGCAAGGUAAUGUGGAGGCUCUUUCCGGUUGAUGCUCGCACUCGUGUUCCGCUUUAUUUACGGGACACGAUACAUCUUGUCUUUGAUUUGCGUUUCUACACGCAUCCUUUAUCAUUAUACUUGCUUGUCCGGAUUUCUGUUUCCCUUGCAGGUGUAUGAUAUUCGUUGUGCUCAAUGCACACGUCAGCGUGUGAUUUACUUUCACCGCGUCGACCCUUGAUUGCUUAUGCGGAUUUUAAUCGGAGUGCUGACAUGUUUGCUGUUGCUUUUGCUAGCUCGCUCGCGGGAUCCUAGUUUACUCGCUCUCUUCGCUUUAGUUUACGGAUCAUCAUCCGUUUGGUAUUGAUUCCUUUUCAUUUUAUUUCUCUCGCACUUUAUCGCUUUCUCGCAUCAUUCUUUAACAUGAGAAGUAGGACCUAGACAUGCAUCUGGCCAAGCCCUCGAAAGAGGCUCUGUUUUUGUUGGUGUGUUUAUAUUUGUGCUUUGCGGCAGGGAGUCACGGUGUAAUAAGUCCUAUAUGGCACUCCGUUAAGUCCUCAUGGAAGGCAUGCGGAAAGGGUUAGCAAUCAACCCCCGCCUAGUCUCAUCGAGUCCGUUUGGUAUGCGCACGCUACGCGUAGCUCGCUUCUGAACCUGCACAAGAUCUUGUUAUCGAGUAUGUCAGGAAAAGGGUUCAUGUAGCCGGACCCCCGCCUUUCCUAUAGCUCGCGUCGCUCGACGUUGAUGCUCGGUGUACGCACGCACCGUUUUCCUUUACGAUCCGUGACGGCUUGGUUGCUGAGAGGGGUCCGCCCUCUUGUCUAUGGCCCGAUCAUUUUCACGAGGUCUAAUGCUUGGUUGACUUGGGUUGAGCUGCUCCCCUUGGCUAUGGCGGGACCGCUUUUCUACCAUUCGGUCAGUACCGUUGGUUUGUUUGCUUUACGAGCGGAUGCUCGUUUGUAUGCUCAUUGUUUGCUUUCGCCUUUCCCCGUAGGUUGAUAGCUUAGCUUAGACUUGUACCCUUUGUAUGAUAACAUUAGGUAGCAAGCUUUCCCCCUUAGCUUAGGUUUUCCUCAUGCAUUCUUUAAAACACAAACCACACUCUUUGAUUUUCUUUUCUUAAGAGCUUGUUAUUUCCGCUCCAUUCCCAGCAUAAGUCUCCAAAGGUCGAGCAGCGGAGUGUGAAUGUAACUCGUUCACCUAAAAAACACAAAACAAAUAGAAAUUAGUUAGCCGAGCUACGGUAGCUCUGAUUCUGCAAAACAGAUACGUAGGCAGCGGGGUAGGGCCCGUGCGAGCACAAUCCUUUCUUUUCCCUACAUUCUGCAUUCAUUUUAGUCCAGAUUAGCGUAGAUUUGUUACACACCCAUAGUUUUAGACACAGGCGUGGAUACCAUCGAGUACGAUGGGCGCGAGGGGUGCUAACACCUUCCUCUCGCGUAACCGACUCCCUUACCCUCCUUCUCUGGUCGUGAGACCGUUGUUUUGUUUUGUUUUGUUUUGUGGUUUGCUGGCAUUCCCUUCCUUUUCAGGAUAAAUAUGUUAGUGGCGACUCUGUUAAUUUUCGCGGUAGCGACAACGUCCCCUCAACUGCACGCAUGCUUGUCCAGAAAUAGUGAACACGUGUUUACCAUCUGGAUAGCCAGUUACAGCUGUUUUGCUUUUAAAAAGAUUUUGAAUCAACUUAGACAAUGAAACUUUAGUAAUAACUGAAUCACAAUUUCUAAUUGAUUUCAAUCAGAACUUCUUAUAAACAAAAAAUCCAAUUUCAUUUCAGAAGAUACUCAUACAUAAGAUCUUCUCAUCUUCUCAUUCUGGGCAUAAAUCCAUACUGAUAUUCUUUAGAAUGAACUUAAACCUAUCUUCAGCAAGGGGUUUUGUAAAGAUAUCAGCCCAUUGAUGGUCUGUAUCCACAAAGUUUAAAGAUAUAACACCCUUCUGAACAUAGUCUCUUAUGAAAUGAUGUUUAAUCUCAAUAUGUUUAGCUUUUGAAUGUAAAAUAGGAUUCUUAGAUAAACAUAUAGCAGAAGUAUUAUCACAGAAAAUAGGAAUGUUACUCUCAUAUAUCUGAUAAUCUUCCAGCUGACUUCUCAUCCAGAGCAUUUGUGUGCUACAACCAGCAGCAGCAACAUAUUCUGCUUUUGUUGUUGAGAGGGCAAUAGUAGCUUGCUUCUUGUUGUACCAUGAGAUCAGAUGACUUCCAAGAAAUUGACAACUUCCAGAAGUGUUCUUUCUUUCUAUUCUAUCUCCAGCAUAGUCAGCAUCACAGAAUCCUACUAAGUUGUAAUCUUUAGAUCUUCUGUAAACUAAACCAACAUUAGUAGUACCUUUCAGAUACCUUAGAAUUCUCUUAACCGCAGUUAAAUGAGAUUCUCUUGGAUCUGAUUGGAAUCGAGCACACAAACAAACACUAAAGAUAAUGUCAGGUCUAGAAGCAGUUAGAUAUAGAAGAGAUCCAAUCAUACCUCUGUACAACUUCUGAUCUACCUUCUUACUUACCUCAUCCUUACCCAGUACACAUGUUGGAUGCAUAGGAGUUUUGGCUUCUUUGCUUUCAGAAAGAUUAAACUUCUUCAGAAGUUCUUUCACAUACUUCGUUUGAUGAACAUAGGUUCCAUCGGUAGUUUGGUUGAUUUGAAUCCCAAGGAAAUACUUGAGUUCUCCCAUCAUGCUCAUUUCAAAUUCAUCCUGCAUAGACUUAGCAAACUCCUUUCCAAGUGUAGCAUUAGAUGUUCCAAAGAUAAUAUCAUCAACAUAUAUUUGACAAAUUAAAAUAUCCUUUUUAAAUGUUUUACAAAAAAGAGUAGUGUCCACUUUUCCUCUAGUGAAAUCAUUUUCCAAAAGGAAAGAACUCAAACGUUCAUACCAAGCUCUGGGAGCUUGUUUCAAUCCGUAUAAUGAUUUCUUUAAUUUGAAAACAUGAUUUGGAGACAUGGAGUCUUCAAAACCAGGAGGUUGAUGGACAUAAACUUCUUCAUCUAUGUAACCAUUUAAGAAGGCACUCUUAACAUUCAUCUGAUAAAGAGUGAUGUUGUGUUGAGUGGCAAAAGAAAUUAAUAGACGAAUAGAUUCUAACCUGGCCACUGGUGCAAAGAUUUCUGUAUAAUCAAUCCCUUCUUGCUGACUAUAACCUUGAGCAACCAGUCUGGCUUUGUUUCUUACCACUUCACCUUUCUCACUUAGCUUGUUUCUGAAAACCCACUUAGUACCGAUGAUGUUAAAUCCUUUUGGUCUAGGAACCAAGUCCCAUACAUCAUUCCGUGUAAACUGAUUUAGUUCUUCUUGCAUGGCAAUUAUCCAGUCUGGAUCUUCUAGAGCUUGAUCAACAAAAGUUGGCUCGAUCAAAGAAACAAGACCUAAUUGACAUUCUGCAUUGUUCUUAAGGAAUGCCCUUGUUCUGAUGGGAUCAUCUUUCUUUCCAAGGAUCACAUCUUCUGAGUGAGCUGAAGCAAGUCUAGGUGAUCUUCUGACUGUAGGUUCUUCAGAAAUCCUAAGAUUCUCUAAAGAUGCAGCAACUUGAUCUUCUGAUCCAUUGCUUCUGAGACUGCCAGCUUCUGCAGCUUUGCUUCUUGGUUCUACUGCUUCUGAUAUAUUAAUAUCAAAAUCUGCAAAAUUCUCAAACUGCUUUGGUUUUUCAAGACCAAGCUUAUCAUCAAACCUGAUAUUGAUUGAUUCUUCUACAAUCAAUGUUUCAGUAUUGUAUACUCUGUAGCCUUUAGAGCGUUCAGAAUAUCCAAGAAGGAAACACUUUUGUGCUUUAGAAUCAAACUUACCAAGAUGAUCUUUAGUAUUCAGAAUAAAACAUACACAUCCAAAAGGAUGGAAAUAUGAAAUGUUGGGCUUUCUGUUCUUCCACAAUUCAUAAGGAGUCUUAUUUAGAAUAGGUCUGAUAGAGAUUCUAUUCUGAAUAUAGCAUGCAGUGUUUAUUGCUUCUGCCCAGAAAUGCUUAGCCAUAUUGGUUUCAUUGAUCAUGGUUCUGGCCAUUUCUUGUAGAGUCCUAUUCUUUCGCUCUAGAACUCCAUUUUGCUGUGGAGUUCUAGGACAAGAGAAAUCAUGGGCAAUACCAUUUUCUUUGAAGAACUUCUCAAAGAAUUUGUUCUCGAAUUCGCCACCAUGAUCACUUCUGACCUUUAUGAUUUUGUACUCCUUCUCAGAUUGGAUCUGAGUGCAGAAUUCAAAGAACACUGAAUGAGACUCAUCCUUGUGUUUCAAGAACUUUGCCCAUGUCCAGCGGCUAUAAUCAUCAACGAUGACUAAUCCAUAUUUCUUCCCUCUGACAGAUGCUGUUUUGACUGGGCCAAACAGAUCAAUGUGCAAGAGUUCUAACGGCCUUGAGGUAGAAACAACAUUCUUAGACUUGAAUGCAGGUCUGGAGAACUUGCCCUUCUGACAUGCUUCACAAAGAGCAUCUGAUUUGUAUUUCAGAUUUGGGAGUCCUCUGACCAGAUUUAGUUUGUUAAUCUGAGAAAUCUUUCUCAAACUAGCACGUCCUAAUCUUCUGUGCCAGACCCAUUGCUCUUCAGAAACAGACAUAAGACAAGUCACCUUCUGCUUCUCAAGAUCAGAAAGAUCAAUCUUAUAUAUGUUGUUCUUCCUCUUGCCUGUAAAUAGGAUUGAGCCAUCCUUCUGACUUACAGCCUUGCAAGACUUUUGAUUGAAGAUUAUAUCAUAACCAUUGUCACUUAAUUGACUUAUGGACAAUAAGUUAUGCGUUAAUCCUUCUACAAGAAGUACAUUAGUUAUGGAAGGAGAGUUACCAAGACUUAUGGUUCCAGAGCCAAUGAUUUUUCCCUUCUGAUCUCCUCCAAACUUGACUUCUCCACCUGGUUUAAGCACCAGGUCUUGGAAUGUAGACCUUCUUCCCGUCAUGUGUCGCGAGCACCCAGAGUCCAGGUACCAUGACAUUUUGCUUUUUGUCCUCUUUUCCGUCAAGGAUAUCUGCAAUAGGAAUAAUCUUUUCCUUAGGUACCCACAAUUUCUUGGGUCCUUUCUUGUUAGUUCUCCUCAAGUUCUGAUUGAACUUGGGUUUAGCAAAAUAUUUAACGGGAGGAACAGCAUGAUAUUCCUUAUUCUGAGUUCCGUGAUAUUUCUUAGGUUGUGUCACAUGCUUCUUGGUGUGUGUUAUGUGAAAACUUUGUGCAUGUGAUGUGUGCUUAAUAUCAUAGGAGUGGCCAAAUUUAAAUUUGUUAUACAGAGGCUUGUAUGAUAUUUUCAUAUCAUCCACAGAUUCAAGCUUGUAUGGGAUUUCACUCUCAUAACCAAUGCCAACUCUCUUGUUUCCAGACACAGCAUAUAUCAUAGAAGGUAGCUGACUUCUGCCAAUACUUCUAGAUAAGAACUUCCUGAAACUUAAAUCAUAUUCUUUCAGAAUAUGAUUCAGGUUGGGAGUGGAUUUUUCUGAAUCAGAAGGAGAUCCAACAUUAUUGGAUAAUUUUAAAACUUUUUCUUUUAAUUCAGAAUUUUCCAACUCAAGCUUCUUAGUUUCAAAUUCAAAUUGCUUUUUCAGCUUUUUGUAUUUGAUACUAAGAUGAGCUUUUAAUUCAAGAAGCUCUUUUAGACUGGAAACUAACUCUUCUCUAGAUAGUUCAGAAAAUACCUCUUCAGAAUCUGAUUCUGAUGUAGAUUCUGAUCCAUCAUCUUCUGUCGCCAUCAGCGCAAAGUUUGCCAGCUCUCCUUCAGAGUCUGAUCCUGAUUCUGAUUCAGAAUCAUCCCAUGUUGCCAUAAGACCUUUCUUCUUAUGAAACUUCUUGGGAUUCUCCUUCUGAAGUUUUGGACACUCAUUCUUGUAAUGUCCAGGCUCAUUGCACUCAUAGCAGACAGCCUUCUUCUUGUUAGAUCUUCUGUCACCAGAAGAUUCUCCUCGUUCAAAUUUCUUUGAACUUCUGAAGCCUCUGAACUUCCUUUGCUUGCUCUUCCAGAGUUGGUUCACCCUUCUGGAGAUCAUGGACAGUUCAUCUUCUUCUUCAGAUUCUGAUUCUUCAGGAUCUUCUUCUCUAGCCUGAAAAGCGUUAGUGCAUUUUUUAACAUUAGAUUUUAAUGCAAUAGACUUAACUUUCUUCUAAGGUUCAUUAGCGUCAAGUUCAAUCUCAUGACUCCUCAGGGCACUGAUCAGCUCUUCCAAAGAAACUUCAUUCAGAUUCUUCGCAAUCAUGAAUGCAGUCACCAUUGGGCCCCAUCUUCUGGGCAAACUUCUGAUGAUCUUCUUUACGUGAUCAGCCUUGGUGUAGCCUUUGUCGAGAACUCUCAAUCCAGCAGUCAGAGUUUGAAAUCUUGAAAACAUCUUUUCAAUGUCUUCAUCAUCCUCCAUCUUGAAGGCUUCAUAUUUCUGGAUUAGAGCAAGAGCUUUAGUCUCCUUGACUUGAGCAUUUCCGUCAUGGGUCAUUUUCAAAGACUCAUAUAUAUCAUGGGUAGUUUCCCUGUUAGAUAUCUUCUCAUACUCAGCAUGAGAGAUAGCAUUCAGCAAAACAGUCCUGCAUUUAUGAUGAUUCUUGAAAUCUUUCUUUUGAUCAUCAGUCAUUUCACUUCUCGUGAGCCUUACACCAGUAGCUUUAACAGGAUGUUUGUAACCAUCCAGCAGAAGAUCCCAUAGAUCAGCAUCUAGACCUAGAAAGUAACUUUCCAGUUUAUCUUUCCAGUAUUCAAAGUUUUCACCAUCAAAUACUGGUGGUCUAGUAUAACCAUUGUUACCAUUGUAUUGCUCAGCAGAGCCAGAUGUAGAUGCAGCUGGAUUUGUUGGAAUUUCACCAGCCAUCUUUUACUGAAGCGUUUUUCUCUUCCUGAAUCUUUUCUAAACACAGUUAAGUGCUUGCACCUUAGAACCAGGCUCUGAUACCAAUUGAAGGAUAGAAAAACACUUAGAAAGGGGGGGGGGGUUGAAUAAGUGUAGUCUAAAAACUUGAACGAUAAAAACAAUAUGCACAGUUAUUUUUAUCCUGGUUCGUUGUUAACUAAACUACUCCAGUCCACCCCCACGGAGUGAUUUACCUCACCUGAGGAUUUAAUCCACUAAUCGCAACAGAUUACAAUGGUUUUCCACUUAGUCCGCGACUAAGUCUUCUAGAGUAUCCUGAUCACAACCUGAUCACUCCAGGAACAAAUGCUUAGACACAAGCUAAGACUUUCUUAGAGUAUCCUGACCACCACGUGAUCACUCUAAUUACAACUGCUUAGACACAAGCUAAGACUUCCUAGAGUAUCCUGAUCAACACUUGAUCACUCUAGUUACUUAUAAAUUAAUGUAAUCAAAUAAGAGUUUUACAAUGCUUCUUAAAAGCUAUAAUCACAACAGUGAUAUUUCUCUUAACGUUUAAGCUUAAUCUCACUUUUAUAUUACAACAGCAAUGUAGUGAGCUUUAAUGAAGAUGAAGUUUCUGAGCUUUGAAUUGAACAGCGUUUCAGCAAGUCUUUCAGAAAUAAUUUCGUUCAGAAUUAGUAACCUUGCUUCUCAUCAGAACUUCAUAUUUAUAGGCGUUUGAGAAGAUGACCGUUGAGCGCAUUUAAUGCUUUGCAUGUUCCGUACAGCUUUGCAUUUAAUGUUUCACGCUUUUGUCAACUACCUCGAGCCUUGUUCACGCUGUGUCUACUGACGUUGCGUUUAAUAGCUUCCAACGUUCCUUUUGUCAGUCAGCGUAGCCUGCCACCUGUACUUUCUUCUGAUCUGAUGUUUGUGAAUAUAAUAUUGAAUGUCAUCAGAGUCAAACAGCUUGGUGCAUAGCAUCUUCUUGUCUUCUGACCUUGAAGUGCUUUUGAGCGUGAUACCAUGAGAACUUCAGUGCUUCUGCUUCUGAUCUCAAGUUCUUCUGAUGCUUCCAUAGACCCAUGUUCUGAUUCUGCCUUGACCAUCUUCUGAUGUCUUGCCAGACCAUGUUCUGAUGUUGCAUGCUGAACCUUCUGAGACAAAGCUUCUGAGCGCUGAUUUGUGCAUACUCUUUAUAUAUUUCCUGAAAUGGAAAUUACAAUGUAUUAGAGUACCACAUUAUCUCACACAAAAUUCAUAUCCUUGUGAUCAGUACAUUUUGAUGCACAUUCCUCUACGGUUGUACUUAUACAUUUCCAUGGUUUGCUUGUCUUAUUUUUGUAUUUUAUAAUGUUUUUAUAUUUUAAAUUAUUUUUAUUGUUAUUUGAUUUUCGUAUUUAUUUUUCAGCUUUUGUAGUCUGCACGGAAACGAUCAUAACUGGAGUUCCGUAAGUCCGAUUGAGGCGUUCUAAUAAUCGCCGGAAAGCUAAGAGAAAGAGCUACAACUUUUAUGUUGGAGUCAAAGUCAGAAUCGGAACCUAUAUUUCCCAGAAUUGCGUUUGAAGCUGCAGCACUAUUUUAUUUUCGUUUUUUGGGUCGUUUAGUAGUGGGCCUGGUUUUGUCAUUCGACCCAGUUGGGUCAUAAACGUUUUUUGGCUCAUUCCUAAUAGGUCUAGCAGCCGUGUUACUGUUUAUCACGUUUUACUAUUCACAAUUUUGUUUCCACUCUUUUGCUCUGUACGGUAAUGGAGAACUAAACCUCGAGGAUCAAUUCACUGUAAUCAGAUGCCGCUUUGAGGUUCUUUUAUAA